GAGACGUUAGUAAACCAAUUACAUGGCCCUGUCAGAGCCAAAUCACAGGUAAAACCCUGUACAUCUCC
Molecule: transfer RNA, 68 nt
Filed under: Zanda baudinii
Lineage: Eukaryota; Metazoa; Chordata; Aves; Psittaciformes; Cacatuidae
Description: Calyptorhynchus baudinii tRNA-Asp
Source: RNAcentral